RNAcentral lists this long non-coding RNA (221 nucleotides) under Homo sapiens (human). RNAcentral's name for it is "HSALNT0176241". Lineage: Eukaryota; Metazoa; Chordata; Mammalia; Primates; Hominidae. The record is from RNAcentral.
AGCUACACCAUUUCAGGCGCUCCGGCAGCCGCGGCCACCCACUGCCGCGUUCCAGGACAACUGAGACUCACAGAAAUGAGGUAACUUCCUAAAGGCAAGGCAACUAAUAGCAAAACUGGAAUCUGAACCUGAGAUCUGGCAAACACAAAGCUCCAGCCGUUUCUCCUUUGCUGUGCUGCCCACACGCUUCUAGACUAGCCCCCAAGAGAACUAUCAACUCU